CAGCAACGACGACGAGGCAUUGGCAUCGACGGACUGCUCGUGGCGAGGUGACGAGGAAGAGAACUGAGGAACGGACUGGCAGUUCGAGCCUGGACUCGGAACGAGGAGAAUAAACCCUGAACACUCUCACGUUGUUGUCUUGUUGUAGGUCCGGGAGAGAUUUAACUGGCGCAGCCGACAGGAUCCCGACAGGAUCACCCAGCGUCACGCUCCUGGCAGGACAGGUGGACAGAGUGUUCCGGCCAUCCUACGUCACUACUCGGACCACUCCGAAGGAGCGGCAGCUCGGCGGAUCGGACUUCUGGCCUACCGAGCUAAGGCAACGGCAACCACCGUGGGCUGCGUGGCAUCGGCUGCAGCAGCAGAAUUCUUGCAGUGGAGGACAGGUGGCGAGUCCAGGGACGGUCCGCAGUGUCUCGUGCGCCUCAUGUGUAUUCGCCAGCCUUCAUCAGCACGCAUGAAACGUGGACACGGUUUCAUACUCGAAAGGAGGGAGGUGUCAUGUUGUCAGCUCCGGGAAACAGCAACGACGACGAGGCAUUGGCAUCGACGGACUGCUCGUGGCGAGGUGACGAGGAAGAGAACUGAGGAACGGAACUGGCAGUUCGAGCCUGGACUCGGAACGAGGAGAAUAAACCCUGAACACUCUCA
Molecule: long non-coding RNA, 651 nt
Organism: Ornithodoros turicata
Lineage: Eukaryota; Metazoa; Arthropoda; Arachnida; Ixodida; Argasidae
Exons: 2
Source: RefSeq, a predicted model, not a curated record